CUAAUAAGCAGUAGCAUAGCUGAUCCUCCGUGCAUCGCCCAUGUGCUACGGUAAGGGUCUCACUCUAAGUGGGCUACACUGGCUAAUCUCCGUCUGAGGUUAGUUGGAAGAGCUUAAUCAGACUAGCUGAAUGGAAGCCUGUUACCGGGCCGAUGUUUAUGCGAAAUGCUAAUACGGUGACUACGCUCGUAGAUAUUUAAGUGCCGAUAUUUCUGGACGUGGGUUCGACUCCCACCAUCUCCAUAU
This 246-nucleotide transfer-messenger RNA is filed under the name Listeria booriae. RNAcentral describes it as "partial transfer-messenger RNA". It matches the Rfam family "transfer-messenger RNA", at positions 125 to 374 of the family's 374-position model. Rfam says of the family: Bacterial tmRNA, also known as 10Sa RNA or SsrA, is named for its dual tRNA and mRNA-like properties. The record is from RNAcentral. Lineage: Bacteria; Bacillati; Bacillota; Bacilli; Caryophanales; Listeriaceae.